RNAcentral lists this ribosomal RNA (253 nucleotides) under uncultured bacterium. RNAcentral's name for it is "partial 16S ribosomal RNA". It matches the Rfam family "Bacterial small subunit ribosomal RNA", at positions 524 to 776 of the family's 1533-position model. The record is from RNAcentral.
UACGGAGGGUGCAAGCGUUAUCCGGAAUUACUGGGCGUAAAGCGCAUGUAGGCGGCUUUCUAAGUCGGGGGUGAAAUCCUGGAGCUCAACUCCAGAACUGCCUUCGAUACUGGAGAGCUUGAGUCCGGGAGAGGUGAGUGGAACUGCGAGUGUAGAGGUGAAAUUCGUAGAUAUUCGCAAGAACACCAGUGGCGAAGGCGGCUCACUGGCCCGGUACUGACGCUGAGGUGCGAAAGCGUGGGGAGCAAACAGG